This 574-nucleotide ribosomal RNA is filed under the name Diaporthe goulteri. RNAcentral's name for it is "eukaryotic LSU rRNA". The stretch from base 205 to 358 matches the Rfam family "5.8S ribosomal RNA". The record is from RNAcentral. Lineage: Eukaryota; Fungi; Ascomycota; Sordariomycetes; Diaporthales; Diaporthaceae.
GUAAGGGUGACCUGCGGAGGGAUCAUUGCUGGAACGCGCCCCUGGCGCACCCAGAAACCCUUUGUGAACUUAUACCUACCGUUGCCUCGGCGCAGGCCGGCCCCCCUCACCGGGGGCCCCCCGGAGACGGGGAGCAGCCCGCCGGCGGCCAACCAAACUCUUGUUUCUUAGUGAAUCUCUGAGUAAAAAUCAUAAAUGAAUCAAAACUUUCAACAACGGAUCUCUUGGUUCUGGCAUCGAUGAAGAACGCAGCGAAAUGCGAUAAGUAAUGUGAAUUGCAGAAUUCAGUGAAUCAUCGAAUCUUUGAACGCACAUUGCGCCCUCUGGUAUUCCGGAGGGCAUGCCUGUUCGAGCGUCAUUUCAACCCUCAAGCCUGGCUUGGUGAUGGGGCACUGCCUUCGUAACAGAGGGCAGGCCCUGAAAUCUAGUGGCGAGCUCGCUAGGACCCCGAGCGUAGUAGUUUAUAUCUCGUUCUGGAAGGCCCUGGCGGUGCCCUGCCGUUAAACCCCCAACUUCUGAAAAUUUGACCUCGGAUCAGGUAGGAAUACCCGCUGAACUUAAGCAUAUCAAUAAG